This 403-nucleotide ribosomal RNA is filed under the name uncultured bacterium. RNAcentral describes it as "partial 16S ribosomal RNA". It matches the Rfam family "Bacterial small subunit ribosomal RNA", at positions 28 to 526 of the family's 1533-position model. The record is from RNAcentral.
GACGAACGCUGGCGGCGUGCCUAAUACAUGCAAGUCGAACGCAGUGGGGACGGGUGAGUAACACGUGGGUAACCUCCCAUCAGAGGGGAUAACACUUGGAAAAAGGUGCUAAACCGAUAUUUAAGGAUGGACCCGCGGUGCAUUAGGUAGUUGGUGAGGUAACGGCUCAACAAGGCCACGAUGCAUAGCGGACCUGAGAGGGUGAUCGGCCACACUGGGACUGAGAAACGGCCCAGACUCCUACGGGAGGCAGCAGUAGGGAAUCUUCGGCAAUGGACUAAAGUCUGACCGCGCAACGCCGCGUGAGUGAAGAAGGUUUUCGGAUCGUAAGACUCUGUUGUUGGAGAAGCGGUAUCUAACCAGAAAGCCACGGCUAACUACGUGCCAGCAGCCGCGGUAAGUC